AAGUCGAACGGAGUUUUUAAACGGAAGUUUUCGGAUGGAAGUUUAGAAACUUAGUGGCGGACGGGUGAGUAACGCGUGGGUAACCUGCCUCAUACGAGGGGGAUAACAGUUAGAAAUGACUGCUAACACCGCAUAAUAUAGCGAAACCGCAUGAUUUUUGCUAUCAAAUAUUUAUAGGUAUGAGAUGGGCCCGCGUCUGAUUAGCUAGUUGGUGGGGUAAAAGCCUACCAAGGCGACGAUCAGUAGCCGGCUUGAGAGAGUGACCGGCCACAUUGGGACUGAGACACGGCCCAAACUCCUACGGGAGGCAGCAGUGGGGAAUAUUGGACAAUGGGGGAAACCCUGAUCCAGCGACGCCCGCGUGAGUGAAGAAGUAUUUCGGUAUGUAAAGCUCUAUCAGCAGGGAAGAUAAUGACAGUACCUGACUAAGAAGCCCCGGCUAACUACGUGCCAGCAGCAGC
Molecule: ribosomal RNA, 461 nt
Filed under: uncultured bacterium
Lineage: Bacteria
Description: bacterial SSU rRNA
Rfam family: Bacterial small subunit ribosomal RNA
Source: RNAcentral